Molecule: small nuclear RNA, 102 nt
Organism: Trichosurus vulpecula (common brushtail)
Lineage: Eukaryota; Metazoa; Chordata; Mammalia; Diprotodontia; Phalangeridae
Source: RefSeq, a predicted model, not a curated record
UUGCUUCUGCAUCAUCUGUGCUAAAACUGCAACGACACAGAGACAAUUAGCAUGGCCCCGUGAAAAGGUGGCAUGAAGUCUGGGGAGCAUUCCCGCUUCUCU